UUUUACGCUGGCNGCAGGCUUAACNCAUGCAAGUCGAGCCGGAAACGAUCCUAGCUUGCUAGGAGGCGUCGAGCGGCGGACGGGUGAGUAAUGCAUGGGAAUCUGCCCGAUAGUGGGGGACAACCUGGGGAAACUCAGGCUAAUACCGCAUACGUCCUACGGGAGAAAGCAGGGGAUCUUCGGACCUUGCGCUAUCGGAUGAGCCCAUGUCGGAUUAGCUUGUUGGUGAGGUAAUGGCUCACCAAGGCGACGAUCCGUAGCUGGUCUGAGAGGAUGAUCAGCCACACUGGGACUGAGACACGGCCCAGACUCCUACGGGAGGCAGCAGUGGGGAAUAUUGGACAAUGGGCGAAAGCCUGAUCCAGCCAUGCCGCGUGUGUGAAGAAGGCCUUCGGGUUGUAAAGCACUUUCAGCGAGGAAGAACGCCUUGGGAUUAAUACUCNCGAGGAAAGACAUCACUCGCAGAAGAAGCACCGGCUAACUCCGUGCCAGCAGCCGNNGGUAAUA
This 507-nucleotide ribosomal RNA is filed under the name bacterium ND6-11. RNAcentral's name for it is "bacterial SSU rRNA". It matches the Rfam family "Bacterial small subunit ribosomal RNA", at positions 33 to 525 of the family's 1533-position model. The record is from RNAcentral.